AACUCUCGACAACGGAUAUCUAGGCUCUUGCAUCGAUGAAGAACGUAGCGAAAUGCGAUACUUGGUGUGAAUUGCAGAAUCCCGUGAACCAUCGAGUCUUUGAACGCAAGUUGCGCCUGAAGCCAUUAGGUUGAAGGCACGUCUGCUUGGGUGUCACA
Molecule: ribosomal RNA, 158 nt
Filed under: Hemitomes congestum
Lineage: Eukaryota; Viridiplantae; Streptophyta; Magnoliopsida; Ericales; Ericaceae
Description: 5.8S ribosomal RNA
Rfam family: 5.8S ribosomal RNA
About the family: 5.8S ribosomal RNA (5.8S rRNA) is a component of the large subunit of the eukaryotic ribosome. It is transcribed by RNA polymerase I as part of the 45S precursor that also contains 18S and 28S rRNA.
Source: RNAcentral